UACGUAGGGUGCGAGCGUUGUCCGGAAUUACUGGGCGUAAAGAGCUCGUAGGUGGUUUGUCGCGUCGUCUGUGAAAUUCCGGGGCUUAACUCCGGGCGUGCAGGCGAUACGGGCAUAACUUGAGUACUGUAGGGGAGACUGGAAUUCCUGGUGUAGCGGUGAAAUGCGCAGAUAUCAGGAGGAACACCGGUGGCGAAGGCGGGUCUCUGGGCAGUAACUGACGCUGAGGAGCGAAAGCAUGGGUAGCGAACAGGAUUAGAUACCCUAGUAGUCC
RNAcentral lists this ribosomal RNA (274 nucleotides) under uncultured bacterium. RNAcentral describes it as "partial 16S ribosomal RNA". It matches the Rfam family "Bacterial small subunit ribosomal RNA", at positions 524 to 796 of the family's 1533-position model. The record is from RNAcentral.